This 253-nucleotide ribosomal RNA is filed under the name uncultured bacterium. RNAcentral describes it as "partial 16S ribosomal RNA". It matches the Rfam family "Bacterial small subunit ribosomal RNA", at positions 524 to 776 of the family's 1533-position model. The record is from RNAcentral.
UACGGAGGGUGCGAGCGUUAAUCGGAAUAACUGGGCGUAAAGGGCACGCAGGCGGGCUUUUAAGUGAGAUGUGAAAUCCCCGGGCUUAACCUGGGAACUGCAUUUCAGACUGGGAGUCUAGAGUCCUUUAGUGAGGGGUAGAAUUCCACGUGUAGCGGUGAAAUGCGUAGAGAUGUGGAGGAAUACCGGAGGCGAAGGCAGCCCCCUGGAAAGGUACUGACGCUCAGGUGCGAAAGCGUGGGGAGCAAACAGG